Molecule: ribosomal RNA, 1177 nt
Filed under: uncultured Bifidobacterium sp.
Lineage: Bacteria; Bacillati; Actinomycetota; Actinomycetes; Bifidobacteriales; Bifidobacteriaceae
Description: bacterial SSU rRNA
Rfam family: Bacterial small subunit ribosomal RNA
Source: RNAcentral
UAGGAGCUCCUGCUGCAUGGUGGGGGUUGGAAAGUUUCGGCGGUUGGGGAUGGACUCGCGGCUUAUCAGCUUGUUGGUGGGGUAGUGGCUUACCAAGGCUUCGACGGGUAGCCGGCCUGUGAGGGCGACCGGCCACAUUGGGACUGAGAUACGGCCCAGACUCCUACGGGAGGCAGCAGUGGGGAAUAUUGCACAAUGGGCGCAAGCCUGAUGCAGCGACGCCGCGUGAGGGAUGGAGGCCUUCGGGUUGUAAACCUCCUUUGUUAGGGAGCAAGGCAUUUUUGUGUUGAGUGUACCUUUCGAAUAAGCACCGGCUAACUACGUGCCAGCAGCCGCGGUAAUACGUAGGGUGCAAGCGUUAUCCGGAAUUAUUGGGCGUAAAGGGCUCGUAGGCGGUUCGUCGCGUCCGGUGUGAAAGUCCAUCGCUUAACGGUGGAUCCGCGCCGGGUACGGGCGGGCUUGAGUGCGGUAGGGGAGACUGGAAUUCCCGGUGUAACGGUGGAAUGUGUAGAUAUCGGGAAGAACACCAAUGGCGAAGGCAGGUCUCUGGGCCGUUACUGACGCUGAGGAGCGAAAGCGUGGGGAGCGAACAGGAUUAGAUACCCUGGUAGUCCACGCCGUAAACGGUGGAUGCUGGAUGUGGGGCCCGUUCCACGGAUUCCGUGUCGGAGCUAACGCGUUAAGCAUCCCGCCUGGGGAGUACGGCCGCAAGGCUAAAACUCAAAGAAAUUGACGGGGGCCCGCACAAGCGGCGGAGCAUGCGGAUUAAUUCGAUGCAACGCGAAGAACCUUACCUGGGCUUGACAUGUUCCCGACGACCGUAGGGAUACGGUUUCCCUUCGGGGCGGGUUCACAGGUGGUGCAUGGUCGUCGUCAGCUCGUGUCGUGAGAUGUUGGGUUAAGUCCCGCAACGAGCGCAACCCUCGCCCCGUGUUGCCAGCGGAUUAUGCCGGGAACUCACGGGGGACCGCCGGGGUUAACUCGGAGGAAGGUGGGGAUGACGUCAGAUCAUCAUGCCCCUUACGUCCAGGGCUUCACGCAUGCUACAAUGGCCGGUACAACGGGAUGCGACAGUGCGAGCUGGAGCGGAUCCCUGAAAACCGGUCUCAGUUCGGAUCGCAGUCUGCAACUCGACUGCGUGAAGGCGGAGUCGCUAGUAAUCGCGAAUCAGCAACGU